AUCACCACAAAGAGUUCCUCCCCCACCAGGAAGCUGUGGGGGCACAGAGAGAUCCGGAGAGAAUCAGCCGUUACUUCCUGAGAAAUAUGGAGAGUUCUCUUCAAGGUCUUGCACUGGCAUGAUUGACAGGCAGUAUGCAAUGCCACACGGUGGGACAGGCUGCAUUCAUUAGCGACAACCAGAGGGCCUGACGUGAUAUAUAUUCACCGGGAUGCACCCAAAUCAGCCAUUAACACCAUCAGCCUGCCUUCAGAAAGCACAUCGACAGGCAGAUG
Molecule: long non-coding RNA, 275 nt
Organism: Anguilla anguilla (European eel)
Lineage: Eukaryota; Metazoa; Chordata; Actinopteri; Anguilliformes; Anguillidae
Exons: 3
Source: RefSeq, a predicted model, not a curated record